UCCGUUUCCAAUCCGCGGAAAGGUCCCGAGUGCGGGGAGCCGGGAGCGGCAGAAACGCGACGCGUCCGGCCGGGGACCGGGGACACGACACCGGCUCUCCACGAACCGGUCGGGACGCCCAGAAAACCGGUACUAGCAGUGAGCGCCUCUGAAGAGAGAGACGGUCGCCGGCGGCGGUGAAGCGCAAGUGAACCGAACGAGGUGCGAGGGCCGGUGUCACCCCCCCGGUCCACGAGUGAGAGGUUUUCAAACUCCCCCCCCCAGGACGGGCUUGAAGUUUGCAACUGGCACGAGCAAGAAGCAGGCCCGUGCUGGCGUGACCACCUCACCGCAAGGCGGCGCCGGUUCCGUUCAUGAAGUUGUCGGCGCUUCCCGGCAGCUCCUUCAUCCAGCUGGGGGCACAGGAGAGCCAGUGCCUGUUCCAGUAAGGGGGUUGGUCGCCGGAGAGCUCAGGGUGGAAGUCACAGGCCCCUGGUGGGUGUGGUCACGAGCUCUUCAUCUGCGCCAAUCAGCUCUCUCAGUGAUGAGGUGAUUUAGUGCUGUUGCAGCAAAGUCGCUACGAGUGUUAUGAGUUAAGCAUGAAUGAUCGAUUAAUCAGAAUAAAACCAAAACUUUUUAACACGUA
Molecule: non-coding RNA, 625 nt
Organism: Lepisosteus oculatus (spotted gar)
Lineage: Eukaryota; Metazoa; Chordata; Actinopteri; Semionotiformes; Lepisosteidae
Source: RefSeq, a predicted model, not a curated record